CUUACAGCUGCCUUAUUAAGAGGAUUAUUCUUUCGGGAAGCUGGGAUCUGAACUCUUUUCAGUCUUACUGGCAUUGGUAGCUGGAGAGUGGAUAAAAAGGAAGGAUCGUGAUGAACCACAAGCCAGAAACUGAAGUCAUCAAAGGUGUCCAGGAUGGAGAAGAGAGAGAGUAGAUGGCACUGCUGCAAAUGUGACUGAGUGGAAGAAAAAAAGUGAUUGCUA
RNAcentral lists this long non-coding RNA (222 nucleotides) under Pan troglodytes (chimpanzee). Its description in RNAcentral is "long non-coding RNA NONPTRT011728". Lineage: Eukaryota; Metazoa; Chordata; Mammalia; Primates; Hominidae. The record is from RNAcentral.